CAGCAGCCACGGGAAUACGUAGGGGGCAAGCGUUAUCCGGAUUUACUGGGUGUAAAGGGAGCGCAGGCGGUGCGGCAAGUCUGAUGUGAAAGCCCGGGGCUCAACCCCGGGACUGCAUUGGAAACUGUCGUACUUGAGUAUCGGAGAGGUAAGUGGAAUUCCUAGUGUAGCGGUGAAAUGCGUAGAUAUUAGGAGGAACACCAGUGGCGAAGGCGGCUUACUGGACGAUAACUGACGCUGAGGCUCGAAAGCGUGGGGAGCAAACAGGAUUAGAUACCCCCGUAGUCCCUGUCUCUUAUAC
RNAcentral lists this ribosomal RNA (301 nucleotides) under uncultured bacterium. RNAcentral describes it as "partial 16S ribosomal RNA". It matches the Rfam family "Bacterial small subunit ribosomal RNA", at positions 509 to 807 of the family's 1533-position model. The record is from RNAcentral.